Molecule: ribosomal RNA, 265 nt
Filed under: uncultured bacterium
Lineage: Bacteria
Description: partial 16S ribosomal RNA
Rfam family: Bacterial small subunit ribosomal RNA
Source: RNAcentral
UGCAUGAGUGGCGGACGGGUGAGUAACGCGUGGGCAACCUGGCCUGUACAGGGGGAUAACACUUAGAAAUAGGUGCUAAUACCGCAUAACGGGGGAAGCCGCAUGGCUUUUCCCUGAAAACUCCGGUGGUACAGGAUGGGCCCGCGUCUGAUUAGCCAGUUGGCAGGGUAACGGCCUACCAAAGCGACGAUCAGUAGCCGGCCUGAGAGGGUGGACGGCCACAUUGGGGCUGAGACACGGCCCAAACUCCUACGGAAGGCAGCAG